Molecule: ribosomal RNA, 2331 nt
Filed under: Salmonella enterica
Lineage: Bacteria; Pseudomonadati; Pseudomonadota; Gammaproteobacteria; Enterobacterales; Enterobacteriaceae
Description: partial 23S ribosomal RNA
Rfam family: Bacterial large subunit ribosomal RNA
Source: RNAcentral
CCCGUACACAAAAGCGCACAUGCUGUGAGCUCGAUGAGUAGGGCGGGACACGUGGUAUCCUGUCUGAAUAUGGGGGGACCAUCCUCCAAGGCUAAAUACUCCUGACUGACCGAUAGUGAACCAGUACCGUGAGGGAAAGGCGAAAAGAACCCCGGCGAGGGGAGUGAAACAGAACCUGAAACCGUGUACGUACAAGCAGUGGGAGCCUCUCUUUAUGGGGGGUGACUGCGUACCUUUUGUAUAAUGGGUCAGCGACUUAUAUUCUGUAGCAAGGUUAACCGCAUAGGGGAGCCGAAGGGAAACCGAGUCUUAAUUGGGCGUUAAGUUGCAGGGUAUAGACCCGAAACCCGGUGAUCUAGCCAUGGGCAGGUUGAAGGUUGGGUAACACUAACUGGAGGACCGAACCGACUAAUGUUGAAAAAUUAGCGGAUGACCUGUGGCUGGGGGUGAAAGGCCAAUCAAACCGGGAGAUAGCUGGUUCUCCCCGAAAGCUAUUUAGGUAGCGCCUCGUGAACUCAUCUCCGGGGGUAGAGCACUGUUUCGGCUAGGGGGCCAUCCCGGCUUACCAACCCGAUGCAAACUGCGAAUACCGGAGAAUGUUAUCACGGGAGACACACGGCGGGUGCUAACGUCCGUCGUGAAGAGGGAAACAACCCAGACCGCCAGCUAAGGUCCCAAAGUCAUGGUUAAGUGGGAAACGAUGUGGGAAGGCCCAGACAGCCAGGAUGUUGGCUUAGAAGCAGCCAUCAUUUAAAGAAAGCGUAAUAGCUCACUGGUCGAGUCGGCCUGCGCGGAAGAUGUAACGGGGCUAAACCAUGCACCGAAGCUGCGGCAGCGACACUUUAGUGUUGUUGGGUAGGGGAGCGUUCUGUAAGCCGUUGAAGGUGUCCUGUGAGGGGUGCUGGAGGUAUCAGAAGUGCGAAUGCUGACAUAAGUAACGAUAAAGCGGGUGAAAAGCCCGCUCGCCGGAAGACCAAGGGUUCCUGUCCAACGUUAAUCGGGGCAGGGUGAGUCGACCCCUAAGGCGAGGCCGAAAGGCGUAGUCGAUGGGAAACGGGUUAAUAUUCCCGUACUUGGUGUUACUGCGAAGGGGGGACGGAGAAGGCUAUGUUGGCCGGGCGACGGUUGUCCCGGUUUAAGCGUGUAGGUGUGUGUUCCAGGUAAAUCCGGUUCACUUUAACACUGAGGCGUGAUGACGAGGCACCACGGUGCUGAAGCAACAAAUGCCCUGCUUCCAGGAAAAGCCUCUAAGCAUCAGGUAACAUCAAAUCGUACCCCAAACCGACACAGGUGGUCAGGUAGAGAAUACCAAGGCGCUUGAGAGAACUCGGGUGAAGGAACUAGGCAAAAUGGUGCCGUAACUUCGGGAGAAGGCACGCUGACACGUAGGUGAAGUGAUUUACUCACGGAGCUGAAGUCAGUCGAAGAUACCAGCUGGCUGCAACUGUUUAUUAAAAACACAGCACUGUGCAAACACGAAAGUGGACGUAUACGGUGUGACGCCUGCCCGGUGCCGGAAGGUUAAUUGAUGGGGUCAGCGCAAGCGAAGCUCCUGAUCGAAGCCCCGGUAAACGGCGGCCGUAACUAUAACGGUCCUAAGGUAGCGAAAUUCCUUGUCGGGUAAGUUCCGACCUGCACGAAUGGCGUAAUGAUGGCCAGGCUGUCUCCACCCGAGACUCAGUGAAAUUGAACUCGCUGUGAAGAUGCAGUGUACCCGCGGCAAGACGGAAAGACCCCGUGAACCUUUACUAUAGCUUGACACUGAACAUUGAGCCUUGAUGUGUAGGAUAGGUGGGAGGCUUUGAAGCGUGGACGCCAGUCUGCGUGGAGCCGACCUUGAAAUACCACCCUUUAAUGUUUGAUGUUCUAACGUGGACCCGUAAUCCGGGUUGCGGACAGUGUCUGGUGGGUAGUUUGACUGGGGCGGUCUCCUCCUAAAGAGUAACGGAGGAGCACGAAGGUUGGCUAAUCCUGGUCGGACAUCAGGAGGUUAGUGCAAUGGCAUAAGCCAGCUUGACUGCGAGCGUGACGGCGCGAGCAGGUGCGAAAGCAGGUCAUAGUGAUCCGGUGGUUCUGAAUGGAAGGGCCAUCGCUCAACGGAUAAAAGGUACUCCGGGGAUAACAGGCUGAUACCGCCCAAGAGUUCAUAUCGACGGCGGUGUUUGGCACCUCGAUGUCGGCUCAUCACAUCCUGGGGCUGAAGUAGGUCCCAAGGGUAUGGCUGUUCGCCAUUUAAAGUGGUACGCGAGCUGGGUUUAGAACGUCGUGAGACAGUUCGGUCCCUAUCUGCCGUGGGCGCUGGAAGAUUGAGGGGGGCUGCUCCUAGUACGA